This 413-nucleotide ribosomal RNA is filed under the name Gonatodes vittatus. RNAcentral describes it as "partial 16S ribosomal RNA". It matches the Rfam family "Archaeal large subunit ribosomal RNA", at positions 2039 to 2660 of the family's 2987-position model. The record is from RNAcentral. Lineage: Eukaryota; Metazoa; Chordata; Lepidosauria; Squamata; Sphaerodactylidae.
UAAUCACUUGUCUCCUAAAUAGAGACUUGUAUGAACGGCCCCAUGAGGGCCCAACUGUCUCCCUUGGCCACUCAAUGAACCUGAUCCCCCAGUACAAAAGCUGGGAUAACCACAUAAGACGAGAAGACCCCGUGGAGCUUAAGAUAAACCACCACACCCCUUGGUGCCUCUCUUCAGUUGGGGCGACUACGGAAAAAAACAAAACUUCCACGCACGCAAAUUACAGCAGCCCACAGGCCAAUGUAAUAAUUAACUGACCCAGUACAACUGAUUAACGAACCAAGUUACCCCGGGGAUAACAGCGCCAUCCUCUUAUAGAGCCCCUAUCGCCAAGAGGGUUUACGACCUCGAUGUUGGAUCAGGACCCCCAAGUGGUGCAGCCGCUACUAAUGGUUCGUUUGUUCAACGAUUAA